GAUGAACGCUGGCGGCGUGCCUAAUACAUGCAAGUCGAGCGAGCAGACGAGGAGCUUGCUCCUCUGACGUUAGCGGCGGACGGGUGAGUAACACGUGGAUAACCUACCUAUAAGACUGGGAUAACUUCGGGAAACCGGAGCUAAUACCGGAUAAUAUAUUGAACCGCAUGGUUCAAUAGUGAAAGACGGUUUUGCUGUCACUUAUAGAUGGAUCCGCGCCGCAUUAGCUAGUUGGUAAGGUAACGGCUUACCAAGGCGACGAUGCGUAGCCGACCUGAGAGGGUGAUCGGCCACUCUGGAACUGAGACACGGUCCAGACUCCUACGGGAGGCAGCAGUAGGGAAUCUUCCGCAAUGGGCGAAAGCCUGACGGAGCAACGCCGCGUGAGUGAUGAAGGUCUUCGGAUCGUAAAACUCUGUUAUUAGGGAAGAACAAAUGUGUAAGUAACUAUGCACGUCUUGACGGUACCUAAUCAGAAAGCCACGGCUAACUACGUG
This 497-nucleotide ribosomal RNA is filed under the name uncultured bacterium. RNAcentral's name for it is "partial 16S ribosomal RNA". It matches the Rfam family "Bacterial small subunit ribosomal RNA", at positions 28 to 507 of the family's 1533-position model. The record is from RNAcentral.